This 754-nucleotide ribosomal RNA is filed under the name Ruegeria sp. Rg179. RNAcentral describes it as "bacterial SSU rRNA". It matches the Rfam family "Bacterial small subunit ribosomal RNA", at positions 60 to 863 of the family's 1533-position model. Lineage: Bacteria; Pseudomonadati; Pseudomonadota; Alphaproteobacteria; Rhodobacterales; Roseobacteraceae. The record is from RNAcentral. RNAcentral also lists the same sequence under 1 other name.
AGUCGAGCGCACCUUCGGGUGAGCGGCGGACGGGUUAGUAACGCGUGGGAACAUACCCUUUGGUACGGAAUAGCCUCUGGAAACGGAGAGUAAUACCGUAUGAGCCCUUCGGGGGAAAGAUUUAUCGCCAAAGGAUUGGCCCGCGUUAGAUUAGGUAGUUGGUGGGGUAAUGGCCUACCAAGCCUACGAUCUAUAGCUGGUUUUAGAGGAUGAUCAGCAACACUGGGACUGAGACACGGCCCAGACUCCUACGGGAGGCAGCAGUGGGGAAUCUUGGACAAUGGGGGCAACCCUGAUCCAGCCAUGCCGCGUGAGUGAUGAAGGCCUUAGGGUCGUAAAGCUCUUUCGCCUGUGAAGAUAAUGACGGUAGCAGGUAAAGAAACCCCGGCUAACUCCGUGCCAGCAGCCGCGGUAAUACGGAGGGGGUUAGCGUUGUUCGGAAUUACUGGGCGUAAAGCGCACGUAGGCGGACUGGAAAGUUGGGGGUGAAAUCCCAGGGCUCAACCCUGGAACUGCCUCCAAAACUAUCAGUCUAGAGUUCGAGAGAGGUGAGUGGAAUUCCGAGUGUAGAGGUGAAAUUCGUAGAUAUUCGGAGGAACACCAGUGGCGAAGGCGGCUCACUGGCUCGAUACUGACGCUGAGGUGCGAAAGUGUGGGGAGCAAACAGGAUUAGAUACCCUGGUAGUCCACACCGUAAACGAUGAAUGCCAGUCGUCGGGUAGCAUGCUAUUCGGUGACACACCUAACGGAUUAA